Collybiopsis luxurians FD-317 M1 is the source of this 83-nucleotide non-coding RNA. The record is from the annotation of a GenBank genome assembly. Lineage: Eukaryota; Fungi; Basidiomycota; Agaricomycetes; Agaricales; Omphalotaceae.
AGCAGCAUGGCGCAGUGGUAGCGCGCGGGGCCCAUAUGAGAUAUUUGACCCCGAGGUCACUCGAUCGAAACGAGUUGCUGCUA